Molecule: ribosomal RNA, 279 nt
Filed under: uncultured bacterium
Lineage: Bacteria
Description: partial 16S ribosomal RNA
Rfam family: Bacterial small subunit ribosomal RNA
Source: RNAcentral
UCGCCUACGGGAGGCAGCAGUGGGGAAUAUUGGGCAAUGGGCGCAAGCCUGACCCAGCGACGCCGCGUGAAGGAAGAAGGCUUUCGGGUUGUAAACUUCUUUUCUCAGGGACGAAGCAAGUGACGGUACCUGAGGAAUAAGCCACGGCUAACUACGUGCCAGCAGCCGCGGUAAUACGUAGGUGGCAAGCGUUAUCCGGAUUUACUGGGUGUAAAGGGCGUGUAGGCGGGAAAGCAAGCAAGAUGUGAAAACUCAGGGCUCAACCCUGAGCCUGCAUUU